RNAcentral lists this ribosomal RNA (254 nucleotides) under uncultured bacterium. RNAcentral's name for it is "partial 16S ribosomal RNA". It matches the Rfam family "Bacterial small subunit ribosomal RNA", at positions 524 to 776 of the family's 1533-position model. The record is from RNAcentral.
UACGUAGGGUGCGAGCGUUGUCCGGAAUUAUUGGGCGUAAAGAGCUCGUAGGCGGUGUGUCACGUCGGCCGUGAAAACCUGCAGCUUAACUGUGGGCGUGCGGUCGACACGGGCAUCACUGGAGUUCGGCAGGGGAGACUGGAAUUCCUGGUGUAGCGGUGAAAUGCGCAGAUAUCGCUUGGAACGCCGACGGUGAAAACAGCUCGCUGGGGGUGUGCCGACGCUGAGACACGAAAGCCAGGGGAGCGAACGGG